UUUCAUUUCCUGCUUGGAAGACUAGUGAUUUUAUUGUUUGUAAAGCCUUAAACAAUAGAUCACUGUCUCCCAUCGGUGAAUGAAA
This 85-nucleotide microRNA precursor is filed under the name Stegodyphus mimosarum. Its description in RNAcentral is "mir-7 microRNA precursor". It matches the Rfam family "mir-7 microRNA precursor family". From Rfam's summary of the family: This family represents the microRNA (miRNA) precursor mir-7. In this case the mature sequence comes from the 5' arm of the precursor. The record is from Rfam by way of RNAcentral. Lineage: Eukaryota; Metazoa; Arthropoda; Arachnida; Araneae; Eresidae.